UCUCUCUCUUACUUCAUUUCAAAUUUCACACCUCUCAUCUCUCUCCUCCCUCAGUCUUGGAAAAUCCUCCGACCACCUCCGAUGAGCACCACCGGACGCUCCCUCUCAACUGCUGGAAAAGGACGGAGGCUUGGUGGAAUCGAGUCGGGGUCGGAGGGCUCCCUCUGAAGAACUGGUCAUCGAAGAGAGAUCGAGCCGUGGUUCUACCCGGAGGACCCAGAAGAUAGGCGAAGUUGAACUCCCUGUCGACGGCAUCGCCUUGCCAUCCUUGUCGCCAUCUCCGCAUUCACUGGCACUAACCGUCUUCUUAGUUGCCCGUUCAUCUUCUCCUCUUCCUCCUCCUCCUCUGCCUCCUCCCAUUGAGGUGAUUAGUUGAGCACCACCCAUCGAAGUAGAAAACUCAUCGCAUCGUCAAAGAUCAGGAGCCUUGAAAAUGAGAGCAUCAGAAUAACGUCGACAGAGGGGACAUUCUUGGACAGAGAGAGUGAUGGGGCAAUGGUUGAAAAUUCUGCAGAUGGGGAUGAACAAAACUGGCCCAUUAAUGUUCAAGCCACGGGGGGUCAGAAUAGUGUUUUCUUGAACAUUUCAAACUCCAGGGGCACUUCUGAAGUUGAAAUAACUGGCAGCAUCAAUGACGAUCUUGGUUCACCCAUCAAACAAGCAAAUGAUGCACCCCUAGAGAAAAUGGAUACUGAGUUGGCAGAUUCAGGUGAUGACGUCCCCUCUACUGCUAUAGCCAAAACGGGUAUUGGUGGGAGAAGAUUGAGGGCCGUGUUUGAUGAUGAUGAGGAUUAGCAUAAUGGAAAUCAAGGUUUUGUUUCCUGGAACAUCGCAUUUUUCUGUAAAGGCUUUGAAUAAUUCUUCCAACGGUUACGGUUGCCUUGCAAUGUACAUAAUAGUUGGGAUUUUUGUACACUUGCAAUGCUACUUCAUGUUUUUUUUUAUCCAUCCUUCUCUUUUACCA
This is a long non-coding RNA of Syzygium oleosum, 964 nucleotides long. RefSeq lists it as uncharacterized. The record is from RefSeq and is a predicted model, not a curated record. The transcript is spliced from 3 exons. Lineage: Eukaryota; Viridiplantae; Streptophyta; Magnoliopsida; Myrtales; Myrtaceae.